Molecule: ribosomal RNA, 420 nt
Filed under: uncultured Iamia sp.
Lineage: Bacteria; Bacillati; Actinomycetota; Acidimicrobiia; Acidimicrobiales; Iamiaceae
Description: bacterial SSU rRNA
Rfam family: Bacterial small subunit ribosomal RNA
Source: RNAcentral
ACCUAGUGGCGAACGGGUGAGUAACACGUGAGGAACCCACCCCGGAGACCGGGAUAACCCUCCGAAAGGAGGGCUAAUACCGGAUGCCCUCAUCGGAUCGCAUGUUCUGAUGAGGAAAUGGAUUCCGCUCCGGGACGGCCUCGCGGCCUAUCAGCUUGUUGGUGGGGUAACGGCCUACCAAGGCGACGACGGGUAGCUGGUCUGAGAGGACGGUCAGCCACACUGGGACUGAGACACGGCCCAGACUCCUACGGGAGGCAGCAGCGGGGAAUAUUGCGCAAUGGGCGAAAGCCUGACGCAGCAACGCCGCGUGAGGGAUGAAGGCUCUCGGGUUGUAAACCUCUUUCAGCAGGGACGAUUGUGACGGUACCUGCAGAAGAAGCCCCGGCCAACUACGUGCCAGCAGCCGCGGUAAUAAUC